CCUACGGGUGGCAGCAGUGAGGAAUAUUGGUCAAUGGCCGAAAGGCUGAACCAGCCAAGCCGCGUGAAGGACGAAGGUGCCAAGCAUUGUAAACUUCUUUUGUCAAGGGACAAAAUCAGGCUCGAGAGCCUGACCGAGGGUACUUGAAGAAAAAGCAUCGGCUAACUCGGUGACAGCAGCCGCGUUAAUACGGAGGAUGCGAGCGUUAUCCGGAUUUAUUGGGUUUAAAGGGUGCGUAGGCGGACUGUUAAGUCAGCGGUAAAAGCCCGGGGCUCAACCCCGGCGAGCCGUUGAAACUGGCUGUCUUGAGAUGUCGAGAGGUAUGCGGAAUGCGCAGUGUAGCGGUGAAAUGCUUAGAUAUUGCGCAGAACUCCGAUUGCGAAGGCAGCAUACUGGCGGCGAUCUGACGCUGAGGCACGAAAGCGUGGGUAUCGAACAGGAUUAGAUACCCGAGUAGUC
Molecule: ribosomal RNA, 459 nt
Filed under: uncultured bacterium
Lineage: Bacteria
Description: partial 16S ribosomal RNA
Rfam family: Bacterial small subunit ribosomal RNA
Source: RNAcentral